CCAAUAGCGUAUAUUAAAGUUGUUGCAGUUAAAAAGCUCGUAGUUGAACUUCGGGAUCAAUGGAUUGGUCAUGCCGAUGGUGUGUACUGGUCAUAUUGGUUCUCACCUUCUAAGGAACCAUAAUGUCAUUUAUUUGAUGUUGUGGGGAAUUAGGACUGUUACCUUGAAAAAAUUAGAGUGUUUAAAGCAGGCUAACGCUUGAAUACAUUAGCAUGGAAUAAUGAAAUAGGACAUCGCAUUCUAUUUUGUUGGUUUCUAGGAUCGAUGUAAUGAUUAAUAGGGAUAGUUGGGGGCAUUAGUAUUCAAUUGUCAGAGGUGAAAUUCUUGGAUUUAUUGAAGACUAACUACUGCGAAAGCAUUUGCCAAGGAUGUUUUCAUUAAUCAAGAACGAAAGUUAGGGGAUCGAAGACGAUCAGAUACCGUCGUAGUCUUAACCAUAAACUAUGCCGACUAGGGAUCGGAUGAUGUUGAUUUUUUAAUGACUCAUUCGGCACCUUACG
Molecule: ribosomal RNA, 500 nt
Filed under: uncultured Glomeromycotina
Lineage: Eukaryota; Fungi; Glomeromycota
Description: partial small subunit ribosomal RNA
Rfam family: Eukaryotic small subunit ribosomal RNA
Source: RNAcentral